Molecule: long non-coding RNA, 350 nt
Filed under: Cyanistes caeruleus (blue tit)
Lineage: Eukaryota; Metazoa; Chordata; Aves; Passeriformes; Paridae
Description: lncRNA (ENSCCEG00000022606.1)
Source: RNAcentral
AAAAAGAGAGGAAUAAAGUAAUGUACAUUACCUCAAGACUAUCCCACUGUUUUUAUCUCAUAUAUAUGUAGAGAGUAGUGGCUUAGCAACUGCACACAGGAAGAGACUACUCUGCAGGUAGCACUGAUGACACCUUUCUGCUCUUCGAUCUGUACUCAAACUGAACAGGAGUUUCCACAGCUCAGCUGAAUUCAGCAAAAUGGGGAGAGGACGAAGUAAGAUUGCUCCAUGAAGAUUCCUAGUGUCAGCCUUUGGUAAGAGAUAUCACUGCUUAUGGAAAAGCUGCAUUAACACUGUCCUGGAUUUGUUAUUUAUUUAAGUGGUUUCACAUGGGACACCAGAUGUCUCUA